GCCAGACUCCUACGGGAGGCAGCAGUGGGGGAUAUUGCACAAUGGGGGAAACCCUGAUGCAGCGACGCCGCGUGGGUGAAGGAGCGUUUCGGCGCGUAAAGCCCUAUCGGCAGGGAAGAAGGAGGACGGUACCUGACUAAGAAGCCCCGGCUAACUACGUGCCAGCAGCCGCGGUAAUACGUAGGGGGCAAGCGUUAUCCGGAUUUACUGGGUGUAAAGGGGGCGCAGACGGCAGCGCAAGCCAGGAGUGAAAGCCCGGGGCUCAACCCUGGGACUGCUCUGGAAACUGCAAAGCUGGAGUGCGGGAGGGGCAGGCGGAAUUCCUGGUGUAGCGGUGAAAUGCGUAGAUAUCAGGAGGAACACCGGCGGCGAAGGCGGCCUGCUGGACCGUAACUGACGUUGAGGCUCGAAAGCGUGGGGAGCAAACAGGAUUAGAUACCCGCGUAAG
Molecule: ribosomal RNA, 448 nt
Filed under: uncultured bacterium
Lineage: Bacteria
Description: partial 16S ribosomal RNA
Rfam family: Bacterial small subunit ribosomal RNA
Source: RNAcentral